CAGCCGCCGCGGUAAAACGUGGGUGGCAAGCGUUGUCCGGAAUGACUGGGCGUAAAGGGCGCGUAGGCGGUUUGUACAGUUGGAUGUGAAAUUCCUGGGCUUAACCUGGGGGCUGCAUUUGAUACGUGUAGGCUAGAGUGGGGAAGAGGGUUGUGGAAUUCCCAGUGUAGAGGUGAAAUUCGUAGAUAUUGGGAAGAACACCGGUGGCGAAGGCGGCAACCUGGUCCUUGACUGACGCUGAGGCGCGAAAGCGUGGGGAGCAAACAGGAUUAGAUACCCCCGUAGUCCCUGUCUCUUAUAC
RNAcentral lists this ribosomal RNA (301 nucleotides) under uncultured bacterium. Its description in RNAcentral is "partial 16S ribosomal RNA". It matches the Rfam family "Bacterial small subunit ribosomal RNA", at positions 509 to 807 of the family's 1533-position model. The record is from RNAcentral.